AGGCGUCGAGUUCGGCGAGGAACGGCCCGCCGCGAUCGAUCGCCGUCUUCAGUGCGGUGACGGCAACGGCUUUCGCCAUCUCGAUAUCGUUCGCAG
This 96-nucleotide small RNA is filed under the name Sinorhizobium meliloti 2011. Its description in RNAcentral is "putative ncRNA". Lineage: Bacteria; Pseudomonadati; Pseudomonadota; Alphaproteobacteria; Hyphomicrobiales; Rhizobiaceae. The record is from RNAcentral.